This 468-nucleotide ribosomal RNA is filed under the name uncultured bacterium. RNAcentral describes it as "partial 16S ribosomal RNA". It matches the Rfam family "Bacterial small subunit ribosomal RNA", at positions 28 to 507 of the family's 1533-position model. The record is from RNAcentral.
GACGAACGCUGGCGGCGUGCUUAACACAUGCAAGUCGAACGGAAAGGCCCUGCUUUUGUGGGGUGCUCGAGUGGCGAACGGGUGAGUAACACGUGAGUAACCUGCCCUUGACUUUGGGAUAACUUCAGGAAACUGGGGCUAAUACCGGAUAGGAGCUCCUGCUGCAUGGUGGGGGUUGGAAAGUUUCGGCGGUUGGGGAUGGACUCGCGGCUUAUCAGCUUGUUGGUGGGGUAGUGGCUUACCAAGGCUUUGACGGGUAGCCGGCCUGAGAGGGUGACCGGCCACAUGGGGACUGAGAUACGGCCCAGAGUCCUACGGGAGGCAGCAGUGGGGAAUAUUGCACAAUGGGCGGAAGCCGGAGGCAGCAACGCCGCGUGCGGGAUGACGGCCUUCGGGUUGUAAACCGCUUUCGCCUGUGACGAAGCGUGAGUGACGGUAAUGGGUAAAGAAGCACCGGCUAACUACGUG